Molecule: ribosomal RNA, 492 nt
Filed under: uncultured bacterium
Lineage: Bacteria
Description: partial 16S ribosomal RNA
Rfam family: Bacterial small subunit ribosomal RNA
Source: RNAcentral
AGUGAACGCUGGCGGUAUGCCUAACACAUGCAAGUCGAGCGGCAGCACAGUAAGAGCUUGCUCUUACGGGUGGCGAGUGGCGGACGGGUGAGGAAUACAUCGGAAUCUACUUUUUCGUGGGGGAUAACGUAGGGAAACUUACGCUAAUACCGCAUACGACCUACGGGUGAAAGCAGGGGAUCUUCGGACCUUGCGCGAUUGAAUGAGCCGAUGUCGGAUUAGCUAGUUGGCGGGGUAAAGGCCCACCAAGGCGACGAUACGUAGCUGGUCUGAGAGGAUGAUCAGCCACGCUGGAACUGAGACACGGUCCAGACUCCUACGGGAGGCAGCAGUGGGGAAUAUUGGACAAUGGGCGCAAGCCUGAUCCAGCCAUGCCGCGUGGGUGAAGAAGGCCUUCGGGCUGUAAAGCCCUUUUGUUGGGAAAGAAAAGCUGCAGGUUAAUACCCGGCUGUUCUGACGGUACCCAAAGAAUAAGCACCGGCUAACUACGUG